Molecule: non-coding RNA, 119 nt
Organism: Picea glauca (white spruce)
Lineage: Eukaryota; Viridiplantae; Streptophyta; Pinopsida; Pinales; Pinaceae
Source: Rfam
GGGUGCCAUCAUACUAGUGUUAAUGCAACAGAUCCCAUCAGAACUCCGUAGUUAAGCGCGUUUGGGCUAGAGUAGUACUAGGAUGGGUGACCUCCAAGAAAUUCCUAGUGUUGCACCCU